RNAcentral lists this ribosomal RNA (301 nucleotides) under uncultured bacterium. RNAcentral's name for it is "partial 16S ribosomal RNA". It matches the Rfam family "Bacterial small subunit ribosomal RNA", at positions 509 to 807 of the family's 1533-position model. The record is from RNAcentral.
CAGUCGCCGCGGUAAAACGAAGGGUGCAAGCGUUACUCGGAAUUACUGGGCGUAAAGCGUGUGUAGGUGGUUGUUUAAGUCUGUCGUGAAAGCCCUGGGCUCAACCUGGGAAUUGCGAUGGAUACUGGGCGACUAGAGUGCGGUAGAGGAUAGUGGAAUUUCCGGUGUAGCAGUGAAAUGCGUAGAGAUCGGAAGGAACAUCUGUGGCGAAGGCGACUAUCUGGGCCAACACUGACACUGAGACACGAAAGCGUGGGGAGCAAACAGGAUUAGAUACCCGUGUAGUCCCUGUCUCUUAUAC